RNAcentral lists this ribosomal RNA (242 nucleotides) under uncultured bacterium. RNAcentral describes it as "partial 16S ribosomal RNA". It matches the Rfam family "Bacterial small subunit ribosomal RNA", at positions 15 to 244 of the family's 1533-position model. The record is from RNAcentral.
GAUCCUGGCUCAGGAUGAACGCUAGCUACAGGCUUAACACAUGCAAGUCGAGGGGAAACGACAUCGAAAGCUUGCUUUUGAUGGGCGUCGACCGGCGCACGGGUGAGUAACGCGUAUCCAACCUGCCCACCACUUGGGGAUAACCUUGCGAAAGUAAGACUAAUACCCAAUGAUAUCUCUAGAAGACAUCUGAAAGAAAUUAAAGAAUUCAUCGGUGAUGGAUGGGGAGUGCGUCUGAUUAG